UGAAUACAAUAUAGAUUGAUGGCGGAUAAUAGGAUACUGUAGCAUUGAAUGUUUUGUGUAUAACUCAUGCUGGCAUAUGAAUGUUAUCAUCAUAAAUCAUCUAUAAUGAUCUGACAUAACAUUGAAAACUCUAUAGAACUUUGUGUUACUCUAUAGUGUGUUGUUAUAAAUAUUUGUUUACUAAUAGUCCGUAAAUAAAGGCGACAAUAGUAUACCGCUGAUCAAUAGUCACACUUUGAUGAAGCAAAAACGAAUCAGGGUGACACACUUAAAUUGAGGAAAAUACAUUAAGUGUCACCUGUUAUUAUCUUUUGUUAUGUUUUGUUAAUUUCAACUCUCUGAAUAAUAUUCUAACUUUUUUAACAAAUGUAUAUAGUAAUGUACCAACCUAACAUGUAAUGGAUUUACAUUUAAUGUAUAUAGUAAUGUACCAACCUAACAUGUAAUGGAUUUACAUUAACAUUUCUUGCCAAAAUUUUCACCAAUAUAAAAAAAAAAUCAACAAUUGGUUGAAGCCUAAAUCGGCCUUCCACGGAAAAGAAAUAAUAUGUGUAAUAUAUACUUAACAAAAAAAAUAUGUUUAAACGGCACAUAUUGUAAUUCUUUUAUCCAAUAAUAUAGUACAUAUUCUUAUAAAAAUUAAAAGUAUUUUACAAUCUGAAAGAUGGGACAAGAAUGAUUAAAAAAGAAAUGCGUUUACAAAAUUAACAAACAUCAAUUGAUAAGAUUUCACAAACAUCAGCCUUUUCAUUGGGAAUAUAAUGGUCAUAAUAUUUUUGCAUUUAUAUGUGGCUUUAAUAACUAGUUAUUACAGAAUUAGACGAAUCCAAUUUAGACCAUCGUGUUGCACAUCAUUAUUGGUAUCUACAUGUAUAAUGGCGUGACCGAUUAAAGUCUCUAAGAUUUGAAGCACGUGUCAUAAAUCUAAUUUGAAUUAUUCAUUCUUCAUUUUAUAUCCGCCAUUAACAAGUCUCAAACUAUUUCCCUGGAAUUUAUUGAUAGCUCAGCUAUAUUUUUUUUAAAUGAAUUGACUAUAAUUUCACAGAAUAAAUGAAAUGAACAGCUACAGGCUUUUUUGGUUAAGACGCAACAAUCUGUAUAAAUAUCUAACAUGGCCACUAAGCUAUAAAACGUCUCGAUAGGAAAUCACUAUAAGUGCUUUCAAAUGUCUUUUUCAUAACCAUGAAAGUUCAAUCUUUAUUAUGCUAUAAUACUUAAGUUCCAAUGUUAAAUCCAUUUCUGAUUAAAUCGUGAAGGGUUUAUAUAUUUGUGACCUUUUGUAGUUGGUUUCCAUGAACACAAAAUUCUACCAUGCCGAGUAAUUAAAGAAAGGACACUUCAAAACUUAAGCUAAAUGCAUUGGGUAUAACUCAAAGAGAAAACCUUUAUAAUUAAACAAAAUCCAUUGAUACUAAGAAUUGGUUUCUAUCAGAGGUUUUCUAAUGGAUAAGCCAGUCAUAAUAUCUGCAAAGGGUUAAAAAAGAACACAAAUUAACAAGUCGAGGUACAUGAAUGAAAGGUCUAUUGUAUUUAAGGUUUUAAUCGGUGUUCACUCAAAAAUAUUUCUAUUGCAUGUUUGAAAAUGGUCGGAGUUUCAAUGUCGGUGGCCGUAUUGGAAAGAACAUUUUAAUCUUUGUAAACUAAUGUUUUUCUACAUUUAUUUAUUUCAUGUGUGUACUGUCUUUACUCUGUUCACGUUCUGAUCGAUUAAGACGUCAUAUGUGGACCCAACUUAAGUUUUAAACAUUCUGGUUGGUUAAGACGUCAUAUGUGGACCCCACUUAAGUUUUAAAUAUUCUGAUUGUUUAAUACGUCAUAUGUGGACCCCACUUAAGUUUUAAACGCUCUGAUUGGUUAAGACGUUAUAUGUGCACCCCACUUAAGUUUUUUUAAACUUUCAGAUUGGUUUAGACGUCAUAUGUGGACCCCACUUAAGUUUUAAACGUUAUGAUUGGUCAAGACGUCAUAUGCAGAACAUGUGACUGCUCUAAGAAAUGAACCCAAAAUGAAUAAAUCUGAAGUACAUGUUAGACAGACGUAACGUCACAUGUGUCUGUUAUUGAAUGAGUGAAAUGGUUUCCGUCCUUCUUAAUACAAUAUAUAUAAGAAAUAUUCAAGAUAAUCCCACCGUUAAAAUUAAUAUAUAGUUUACUAGUACACUACUUUUCUCCUUUUGGAAAUACAUGUAUAUAUCUUAUUUUGUUUCGCUAUAAAAAUAGUUUGUUUCAAAAAGUGUUCUUUUAACUUAACUUAUUUCGCUGAGAGUCGUUUCAAAACCUAUCGUAGUUCAGGAAUAUACUAUAUUUAAAAUAAUGUUUUAUAUGAAUUUUAACAAACAUCUUUAUAUGAAAAAUAAAAAAUCAAAAUAACCAAACAUAAGUCUGAAAAUAACGCAGUACUAUAUGUUCAUGCAGGUUCAAAGGAACAUGUUUUUUUUCCAAAAUGAAUUUUUGUUUGUACAAAACUAUGGACUAGUUUGCGCAAUCGAGAGCGCUCAUUUUUGUUUUUGAAGGAAAUUAUUUGCCUCGUGCCAAGGGAGGUAACAAGAAUAUAAUCAUGCAGUGUUACAUGUUGUAAAACAUAUAAAUAUGUUAAAUGUUAGUUUAAUAAAUAUUUUAUUGAAUGUGCCUGUUCAUAUUUUUUCUGGAGAAAACUAAUUAAAACGAUUAUAUUCUAAAUUAAAAAUAAAGCCAGACAC
Molecule: long non-coding RNA, 2698 nt
Filed under: Mytilus galloprovincialis (Mediterranean mussel)
Lineage: Eukaryota; Metazoa; Mollusca; Bivalvia; Mytilida; Mytilidae
Source: RNAcentral